RNAcentral lists this long non-coding RNA (440 nucleotides) under Homo sapiens (human). RNAcentral describes it as "HSALNT0359420". The record is from RNAcentral. Lineage: Eukaryota; Metazoa; Chordata; Mammalia; Primates; Hominidae.
ACUCUGGCCGCGGCGAUUCAAUAUAUCCGGAAGCAACUGUCAUGGCUGCUGUCAGUGAGGGCCCGUAAUGGAGAUCGAGUCAAGGGUUGCCCAGGGACACUUAAGAGCCUUCGGCUUCAAGGAGGCCUCUCAAAGGACAAAGGAUGAGACUGCCUGGCGGCAGAGUGCCCCCCACAAUCGUAGGAACUGUGUCGCCGCGCUUCCCGUUAACUUGCCGCUAAGUUUUUCUAGAAAAGUCGCCCUUCUUGCCAGGGGUGUCCUAUAGACUUUGUCAUGGAGUGAAACAGAAACAAAUGAGCUAUGGAAAAAUGAACUCCAACUUACACAAAAUCUACUUUAAUUUCUUCAUUCCAGCAUGGAUGAGAUCCACUUGCUGUAUUGGUUUUGUAUACAGUGUGCUGGAAAGAAACUUCCACGAAUGGAUGUACAGUAUCCUGAAA